UCAAAGGCUGUAAUUUCCUGGAAAAUUCUGGAAUUUUAAUGACUAUAGCAUCUCCUUAUGGCAAAACCAAAAGGCAGCGUUGGACAGAAAAA
Non-coding RNA from Nylanderia fulva, 92 nucleotides. Lineage: Eukaryota; Metazoa; Arthropoda; Insecta; Hymenoptera; Formicidae. The record is from RefSeq and is a predicted model, not a curated record.